CGCUACUUGUCGGGGUGCCAUUAAGUUGGCUGAGAUGAAACCCGUUGAACCUGAAGAGGCUAGAACCUCCGUAGGAAACAAGGCGGAUUGCCGG
Molecule: non-coding RNA, 94 nt
Filed under: Methylophaga lonarensis
Lineage: Bacteria; Pseudomonadati; Pseudomonadota; Gammaproteobacteria; Thiotrichales; Piscirickettsiaceae
Also listed under: 1 other name
Description: TPP sequence
Rfam family: TPP riboswitch aptamer (THI element)
About the family: Vitamin B(1) in its active form thiamin pyrophosphate (TPP) is an essential coenzyme that is synthesised by coupling of pyrimidine and thiazole moieties in bacteria. The previously detected thiamin-regulatory element, thi box was extended, resulting in a new, highly conserved RNA secondary structure, the THI element, which is widely distributed in eubacteria and also occurs in some archaea.
Source: RNAcentral